AUGCCUACGCCACCGCUCCCUCCUGCCUCGCGCAGCUCCCCUGGCCCCCUUGCCUGCCUCCCAAAUAUCCCCUCUUUCACCCCCAAAGUUGUUUCUUGUUCCUCCCGCUGUGUCUCCUACUUGCGCGUUGCGGCGACACCUCCCCCUCGUUGCCCCCGAUGUCGGAGGAGGCACGGGGAAAGCAGCAGUGUCUCGCGCUGCGCUUGCGCCACCUCGGGUAUGCAUGGGCCUACGCGUCGGUCGCCGCCUCGGCCGUGCGCCAGUCCGCAAAGGAGGAGGAAGGGGAUUAUGUUUGCCGCCAAGGCGUACUGGGUAUGCUCCUCGAGUCCCCACUCUUCAGGCCCCUCCUCACCUCCCUCAUCAAGAAGCAGAACAACAUGA
Molecule: ribosomal RNA, 381 nt
Filed under: Triticum aestivum (bread wheat)
Lineage: Eukaryota; Viridiplantae; Streptophyta; Magnoliopsida; Poales; Poaceae
Description: partial small subunit ribosomal RNA
Source: RNAcentral